CGGGUGAGUAACACGUGGGCAACCUGCCUGUAAGACUGGGAUAACUUCGGGAAACCGGAGCUAAUACCGGAUAAUACUUUGGAAUGCAUGUUCUAAAGUUGAAAGGCGGCUUUUAGCUGUCACUUACAGAUGGGCCCGCGGCGCAUUAGCUAGUUGGUGGGGUAACGGCCUACCAAGGCCACGAUGCGUAGCCGACCUGAGAGGGUGAUCGGCCACACUGGGACUGAGACACGGCCCAGACUCCUACGGGAGGCAGCAGUAGGGAAUCUUCCGCAAUGGACGAAAGUCUGACGGAGCAACGCCGCGUGAGCGAUGAAGGUCUUCGGAUCGUAAAGCUCUGUUGUUAGGGAAGAACAAGUACGAGAGUAACUGCUCGUACCUUGACGGUACCUAACCAGAAAGCCACGGCUAACUACGUGCCAGCAGCCGCGGUAAUACGUAAGUGGCAAGCGUUGUCCGGAAUUAUUGGGCGUAAAGCGCGCGCAGGCGGGUUCUUAAGUCUGAUGUGAAAGCCCACGGCUCAACCGUGGGAAGGGCAUUGGAAACUGGGGAGACUUGAGAUGCACAACAGAGAGAGAGUGAAUUCCACGCUGUUAAC
RNAcentral lists this ribosomal RNA (598 nucleotides) under Salirhabdus sp. RNAcentral's name for it is "bacterial SSU rRNA". It matches the Rfam family "Bacterial small subunit ribosomal RNA", at positions 103 to 686 of the family's 1533-position model. The record is from RNAcentral. Lineage: Bacteria; Bacillati; Bacillota; Bacilli; Caryophanales; Bacillaceae.